This is a small nuclear RNA of Jaculus jaculus (lesser Egyptian jerboa), 107 nucleotides long. NCBI's taxonomy places the organism in Eukaryota, Metazoa, Chordata, Mammalia, Rodentia, Dipodidae. The record is from Ensembl.
GUGCUCACUUCAGCAACACAUAUACUAAAAUUGGAAUGAUACAGAGAAGAUUAACAUGGCCCCUAUGCAAGCAUUGCAUGCAAAUUUAUGAAGUAUUCCACAAAUUU